GCAAGUCGAGCGCACUCUUCGGAGUGAGCGGCGGACGGGUUAGUAACGCGUGGGAAUAUACCCUUUUCUACGGAAUAGCCUUUGGAAACGAAGAGUAAUACCGUAUACGCCCUUCGGGGGAAAGAUUUAUCGGUAAAGGAUUAGCCCGCGUUAGAUUAGAUAGUUGGUGGGGUAAUGGCCUACCAAGUCUACGAUCAGUAGUUGGUCUUAGAGGAUGAUC
RNAcentral lists this ribosomal RNA (220 nucleotides) under uncultured bacterium. RNAcentral's name for it is "partial 16S ribosomal RNA". It matches the Rfam family "Bacterial small subunit ribosomal RNA", at positions 57 to 305 of the family's 1533-position model. The record is from RNAcentral.